This 253-nucleotide ribosomal RNA is filed under the name uncultured bacterium. Its description in RNAcentral is "partial 16S ribosomal RNA". It matches the Rfam family "Bacterial small subunit ribosomal RNA", at positions 524 to 776 of the family's 1533-position model. The record is from RNAcentral.
UACGUAGGGUGCAAGCGUUAAUCGGAAUUACUGGGCGUAAAGCGUGCGCAGGCGGUGAUGUAAGACAGUUGUGAAAUCCCCGGGCUCAACCUGGGAACUGCAUCUGUGACUGCAUUGCUGGAAUGCGGCAGAGGGGGAUGGAAUUCCGCGUGUAGCAGUGAAAUGCGUAGAUAUGCGGAGGAACACCGAUGGCGAAGGCAGCCUCCUGGGCCAACACUGACGCUCAUGCACGAAAGCGUGGGGAGCAAACAGG